CCCAGCAAAGAGCAGCACACAGCUGAAAGAAAAACUCAGAAGACAGAGCUGAAAAAGAAAACUGGUGAUGGAUCUCAUUCCAAACUUUGCCAUGGAAACAUGGGUUCUCGUGGCUACCAGCCUGGUACUCCUCUAUAUCCUUUAGGUCCAAUGGGAUUUCUGAAAAGUGCCUUAAGUUUUGCUGAAGAUGAAGAAUGGAAGAGAAUACGAACAUUGCUAUCUCCAGCUUUCACCAGUGUAAAAUUCAAGGAAAUGGUCCCCAUCAUUUCCCAGUGUGGAGAUAUGUUGGUGAGAAGCCUGAGGCAGGAAGCAGAGAACAGCAAGUCCAUCAACUUGAAAGACACUCUUUCCAUUUCUUACCCCAGUUUUUGAAGCCCUAAAUAUCGGUUUGUUUCCAAAAGAUGUUACCCGUUUUUUAAAAAAUUCCAUUGAAAGGAUGAAAGAAAGUCGCCUCAAAGAUAAACAAAAGCACCGAGUAGAUUUCUUCCAACAGAUGAUUGACUCCCAGAAUUCCAAAGAAACAAAGUCCCAUAAAGCUCUGUCUGAUCUGGAGCUUGUGGCCCAGUCAAUUAUCAUCACUUUUGCUGCCUAUGACACAACUAGCACCACUCUCCCCUUCAUUAUGUAUGAACUGGCCACUCACCCUGAUGUCCAGCAGAAACUGCAGGAGGAGAUUGACGCAGUUUUACCCAAUAAGGCACCUGUCACCUAUGAUGCCCUGGUACAGAUGGAAUACCUUGACAUGGUGGUGAAUGAAACGCUCAGAUUAUUCCCAGUUGUUAGUAGAGUUACGACAGUCUGCAAGAAAGAUAUUGAAAUCAAUGGAGUCUUAAUUCCCAAAGGGUUAGCAGUGAUGGUUCCAAUCUAUGCUCUUCACCAUGACCCAAAGUACUGGACAGAGCCUGAGAAGUUCUGCCCUGAAAGAUCCCACUGAAAUUAGACAAUCUACCAAUUCUUCAACCAGAAAAACCUAUUGUUCUAAAAGUGCACUUAAGAGAUGGGAUUACAAGUGGACCCUGACUUUCCCUAAGAGCUUCCACUUUGUUCAAGAAAGCUGUAUCCCA
This 1064-nucleotide small RNA is filed under the name Pongo abelii (Sumatran orangutan). RNAcentral describes it as "processed transcript". The record is from RNAcentral. Lineage: Eukaryota; Metazoa; Chordata; Mammalia; Primates; Hominidae.